This 779-nucleotide ribosomal RNA is filed under the name uncultured Neocallimastigales. Its description in RNAcentral is "partial large subunit ribosomal RNA". It matches the Rfam family "Eukaryotic large subunit ribosomal RNA", at positions 24 to 620 of the family's 3401-position model. Lineage: Eukaryota; Fungi; Neocallimastigomycota; Neocallimastigomycetes; Neocallimastigales. The record is from RNAcentral.
GUAGUCUCGCACAGAUGCAUAUCAAUAAGCGGAGGAAAAGAAACUAACAAGGAUUCCCUCAGUAACGGCGAGUGAAGCGGGAAGAGCUCAAAUUUGAAAUCUUGAAAGGUCACCCUUCACGAAUUGUAGUUUAAAGAAGUGUUUUCUGUUGACGAUCUGGUAAUAUAAGUUCUUUGGAAUAGGACAUCACAGAGGGUGAGAAUCCCGUCUAUGAUUGCAUAUUUUUCAGCUGUGUGAUACACUUUCAAAGAGUCGGAUUGUUUGGGAAUGCAGUCCAAAAUGGGUGGUAAAUUUCAUCUAAAGCUAAAUAUUGGCGAGAGACCGAUAGCGAACAAGUACCGUGAGGGAAAGAUGAAAAGAACUUUGAAAAGAGAGUUAAAUAGUACGUGAAAUUGUCAAAAGGGAAGCGUUUGACACCAGUGUUGUUUUCUCGAAAAUCAAUUAAAAAGAGUUAGAUUUUGUUGUGUAUUGACCUUAACAGCUUGCAUUUCAAUUUUCUUGCUUUUUUUAAUGCACUUUUCGUUUAACAAGUCAACAUCAGUUUCUUUUGUUGUAAAAAGGUCAUUGGAAGGUGGCUUUCUUUUCGGAGAAAGUGUUUAUAGCCUUUGACUCCUGCAAUCGGAGAGACUGAGGUCUGCAGCGUAGAUCCCUCGGGGUUAGAUACAUUUGUGCUAAGUUAUAGCUUUUUAUAGACAACUUGUUGACUAUGAUUAGUCUUGUAGCUUACUCGCUUAUGCUAUUUUACCUACGCUUAGGAUGUUGAAGAUGUAGCACAUCAU